Molecule: non-coding RNA, 400 nt
Organism: Poecilia reticulata (guppy)
Lineage: Eukaryota; Metazoa; Chordata; Actinopteri; Cyprinodontiformes; Poeciliidae
Source: RefSeq, a predicted model, not a curated record
UCCUGUGUGUUUCCCCGACGCUGUUGGUGUUACCGGCCAGACGCCACCCCUCGUGUGUACUUACCUCCUGUGUCCUCCCUCGACGCUGUCGGUGUUACCGGUCAGACGCCACUCCUUGUGUGUGUGCGUUUUCCCCCCUUCGUUGAUCCAUCUCCAGUGGAUUCCCCUUCGGGAAGCCACGGGUCUGGAGACCCACGCCCGAACCCCCCGGAGAACUACUCUGACGGACCUAGUUCCAGGCCGUCCCCUUUAGUGGAGCUAGCUGACCGCUCUCCUACGAGCUCACUGCCUUCGCUCCACUCCGUCCACAUCACCUCCCUUCCAAUAAGACGACCCGGUCCGCUGAUCCAGUAUUCACCAUCUACUUCCUGUUCUUUCAAUAAACCAUCAUUGUAUUUUA